This 335-nucleotide long non-coding RNA is filed under the name Citrus maxima (pomelo). RNAcentral describes it as "long non-coding RNA (CMAX_LNC003751)". The record is from RNAcentral. Lineage: Eukaryota; Viridiplantae; Streptophyta; Magnoliopsida; Sapindales; Rutaceae.
CUUUUGUUAUAUUCAGAGCAUCUUCUUGCGUCAAGUUCUUUUCCUUUAGCUCUGUUUCUGUUUGUGCUCAAACGCAAUGGCUCAAGGGCCAAGAUAAUUUUAUGACCAUCAAUCUUUUUGCAGCCACAGCAGACUUGAAAAAAUGAUUGUGGCCCUAAGGAACUUGAAAAUUAGAAAAGAUUCAGAAUGAGUGACUAAAUAUUAUAAUUGAAACUAACUAAACAUUAUAAUCGAAACUAAUUAAACGCCUAGAAAAUCUGAAACUGAGCAAUUGCUUCUGGUGGAAACUUUACUGCAAGGACUUUCUCAAACCCUUGAAGAUCACACUCUACCUG